RNAcentral lists this ribosomal RNA (449 nucleotides) under uncultured bacterium. RNAcentral describes it as "partial 16S ribosomal RNA". It matches the Rfam family "Bacterial small subunit ribosomal RNA", at positions 354 to 796 of the family's 1533-position model. The record is from RNAcentral.
GUCGAGAAUCUUUCACAAUGGGGGCAACCCUGAUGGAGCGACGCCGCGUGGAGGAUAAGGUCUUCGGAUUGUAAACUCCUGUCAUGCGUGAACAAGGUUGCUUGGUUAAUACCUGGGCAAAUUGAUGGUAACGCAAGAGGAAGAGACGGCUAACUCUGUGCCAGCAGCCGCGGUAAUACAGAGGUCUCAAGCGUUGUUCGGAAUCACGGGGCGUAAAGGGUGCGUAGGUGGCGUGGUAAGUCAGAUGUGAAAGCCCGGGGCUCAACCUCGGAACUGCAUCCGAGACUGCCAUGCUAGAGUACUGGAGAGGUGACUAGAAUUCUCGGUGUAGCAGUGAAAUGCGUAGAUAUCGAGAGGAAUACCAAAGGCGUAGGCAGGUCACUGGACAGUUACUGACACUGAGGCACGAAGGCCAGGGGAGCGAACGGGAUUAGAUACCCUAGUAGUCC